UCUGCUUCCCCGUGUAAGAACCUAUUUAUCACUCGAUUAAGAAACAAAACAAACAAUAAAAAUAAAAUAGCUCAGUAAUUAAAAAUGUGGGUUGCCUCUCACGUAGCGCUUCGUUUAACAUCACAUGGCUCGACGGUUCACCACACUAACCGUUGAGACGAACAUCCUCUACCAGGUCAAUUCCUUGUCCUUGGUGAUAAGGCUUCACUCUCUACCCAUUGACUUUAAAAGUG
This 233-nucleotide long non-coding RNA is filed under the name Lathyrus oleraceus (garden pea). RNAcentral's name for it is "Pisum sativum (pea) long non-coding RNA (PSAT_LNC017031)". Lineage: Eukaryota; Viridiplantae; Streptophyta; Magnoliopsida; Fabales; Fabaceae. The record is from RNAcentral.